GCUGGGCAUGGUGGUGCACACCUGUAAUCUCAGCAGCUGGAGAGGCUGAGACAGAAGAAUCAUGAGUUGAAAGCAAGCCUCAGCACUGGAGAGGCACUUAGCAAUUCGGUGAGACCCUGUCUCUA
RNAcentral lists this small RNA (125 nucleotides) under Marmota monax (woodchuck). The record is from RNAcentral. Lineage: Eukaryota; Metazoa; Chordata; Mammalia; Rodentia; Sciuridae.